This 281-nucleotide long non-coding RNA is filed under the name Lathyrus oleraceus (garden pea). Its description in RNAcentral is "Pisum sativum (pea) long non-coding RNA (PSAT_LNC035540)". Lineage: Eukaryota; Viridiplantae; Streptophyta; Magnoliopsida; Fabales; Fabaceae. The record is from RNAcentral.
UAAAAGCUAUAUUUUGUAUUAUGUCUAAUUCAAUUAGAGAUAGACUUUUUCCAAACCUUCAAACUAUUUGUUUUUGUUUAAUUGAAUUACAAUUUAAACUAAUAUUACUGUGCAGUCCUCGAGAUCGAUAUUUGGGAAACGUCCCUAUUAUUACUACAUUGGCAAAAUAGUACACUUGCUAUUUUCCCGAUCAAGUUUUUGGCGCCGUUGUCGGGGACUGCCAAAUAUAAAGUUUAAAUUUAUUUCAAUUGAAAUUUUGUUGCUCUACAACUAAAAUUUAU